This 277-nucleotide small RNA is filed under the name Xanthomonas campestris pv. campestris. RNAcentral describes it as "ncRNA of unknown function". Lineage: Bacteria; Pseudomonadati; Pseudomonadota; Gammaproteobacteria; Lysobacterales; Lysobacteraceae. The record is from RNAcentral.
CGGGAAGACCAGCCACGGAACAAGGUGUACAUUUGUACACCCAACCGUCGCAGCAGGCGAGAUCGCCGACCUGAGCCGCUCAGCUGCCGGACUGGUGUUGUGGCACGAGGGAGUUGUAACGCCUGUACUGGCACCAGGAGCGGGCCACGAACCUGCGCCGGACGACCGCUAAGGGUACGGCGCAGUUUCACCAUCAAGAACCUUGGGCCGCUGGACAGUGCGCGUGACCACGGCGCCCGCCCUCUCGUCGGGGCGCACAAAGUGGCAGCAGAAUCGA